Populus trichocarpa (black cottonwood) is the source of this 949-nucleotide long non-coding RNA. RefSeq lists it as uncharacterized. The transcript has 3 exons. The record is from RefSeq and is a predicted model, not a curated record. NCBI's taxonomy places the organism in Eukaryota, Viridiplantae, Streptophyta, Magnoliopsida, Malpighiales, Salicaceae.
UCCCAUCUUCUUCGUCCCCAAAACCAGCAGCUGAACCCCCCCUCCCCCCUAGAAACGUAAAAGAACAACAAAAAUUAAUUACCUUCCCAUCUUCUUCGUCCCCAAAACCAGCAGCUGAAAAUUAAUUACCUUCCCAUCUUCUUCGUCCCUAAUAACACACUUAGCUGUAGAAAAAUCACCCUCUCUUCAUCGAUUUGAUUUUCAUUUGUCCCAAACUUUUCAUCUUCUUCUCAUUCAUCUUCAACAUCACUAAUUUUUUUUCUUCAUCUUCUUCUCCUUCAUCUUAACAGUUUCAAUCUUUAUCUGUAAACCACCAAAAUCACAGACCCAUGGCACCAUCGAACCAGACCCAGCAUAAUCACCAACGAACAUCCUGAUUUACCCCUUCUCUCUGUAAAUGGGGUGGGUUUUGCAGUAUUUUCUUCAUUAAUUCAGGUGUUAUUCUGUCUUGUAGAUUCAUCUCGUUCACCUAUAACUCAAGAACACAGGAUUUGACGACCCAAGGAGUAAAGAGGUUGUGUGACUAUGCCUCCAGUUUGGAAAACAACUUACUUGAAGAGAAUAUCCAGGCAUGUCAUCAUCUUUUUGUUUCCUUUUGGCCUUUUCAAUACUCUGUUACUGAACUUUACCGUUCACCAUGGUCCACAAAUUCUGCAGACUUCAGCAUCCAGUUCACGGCUAACAUUCUCAUCAAAGGUAAUAUUUUUCUUCUGCAUUAGGGCACGUGUCUGAUAAAACAUUGUAAACAAAGUAGUUGUUUUUGUUAUUGGAGACACCAUAUCUAUAUUUCUAAACUAGAUAUUGUCUAUUUUACCGUCUUGGUUAGUGGGGAGAUCUAUUUAAGAUUGGAAUUUAAUUAUUUUUACUGGACAUGCCCAGGCUGAAGCAUUCUGUUAUCCCAAACCAGGGGCCACAUGCUUAAAAUAGCUUUGCUUAAGUGCUUGCAUAU